RNAcentral lists this ribosomal RNA (279 nucleotides) under uncultured bacterium. RNAcentral describes it as "partial 16S ribosomal RNA". It matches the Rfam family "Bacterial small subunit ribosomal RNA", at positions 506 to 784 of the family's 1533-position model. The record is from RNAcentral.
UGACAGCCGCCGAGGUAAUACAGAGGGUCCAAGCGUUGUCCGGAUUUAUUGGGCGUAAAGCGUCUGUAGGUUGUUUGUUAAGUCCGAAGUGAAAGAAUGGAGCUCAACUCCAUAUACGCUUUGGAAACUGGCAAGCUAGAGAAUGUUAGAGGUAAGUGGAAUUCCUAGUGUAGCGGUGAAAUGCGUAGAUAUUAGGAAGAACACCAGAGGCGAAGGCGGCUUACUGGAACAUUUCUGACACUGAGAGACGAAAGCAUGGGGAGCGAAAGGGAUUAGAUA